Molecule: ribosomal RNA, 498 nt
Filed under: uncultured bacterium
Lineage: Bacteria
Description: partial 16S ribosomal RNA
Rfam family: Bacterial small subunit ribosomal RNA
Source: RNAcentral
AUUGAACGCUGGCGGCAUGCCUUACACAUGCAAGUCGAACGGUAACAGGUCUUCGGAUGCUGACGAGUGGCGAACGGGUGAGUAAUACAUCGGAACGUGCCUAGUAGUGGGGGAUAACUACUCGAAAGAGUGGCUAAUACCGCAUGAGAUCUACGGAUGAAAGCAGGGGAUCGCAAGACCUUGUGCUACUAGAGCGGCCGAUGGCAGAUUAGGUAGUUGGUGGGAUAAAAGCUUACCGAGCCGACGAUCUGUAGCUGGUCUGAGAGGACGAUCAGCCCCACUGGGGCUGGGACACGGCCCAGACUCCUACGGGAGGCAGCAGUGGGGAAUUUUGGACAAUGGGCGCAAGCCUGAUCCAGCAAUGCCGCGUGCAGGAUGAAGGCCUUCGGGUUGUAAACUGCUUUUGUACGGAACGAAAAGCCCCGGGUUAAUACCCUGGGGUCAUGACGGUACCGUAAGAAUAAGCACCGGCUAACUACGUGCCAGCCGCCGCAGUAA